GACGAACGCUGGCGGCGUGCUUAACACAUGCAAGUCGAACGAAGAGCGAUGGAAGCUUGCUUCUAUCAAUCUUAGUGGCGAACGGGUGAGUAACGCGUAAUCAACCUGCCCUUCAGGGGGGGACAACAGUUGGAAACGACUGCUAAUACCGCAUACGAUCUAAUCUCGGCAUCGAGGAUAGAUGAAAGGUGGCCUCUACAUGUAAGCUAUCACUGAAGGAGGGGAUUGCGUCUGAUUAGCUAGUUGGAGGGGUAACGGCCCACCAAGGCGAUGAUCAGUAGCCGGUCUGAGAGGAUGAACGGCCACAUUGGGACUGAGACACGGCCCAGACUCCUACGGGAGGCAGCAGUGGGGAAUCUUCCGCAAUGGACGAAAGUCUGACGGAGCAACGCCGCGUGAGUGAUGACGGCCUUCGGGUUGUAAAGCUCUGUUAAUCGGGACGAAAGGCCUUCUUGCGAACAGUUAGAAGGAUUGACGGUACCGGAAUAGAAAGCCACGGCUAACUACGUG
RNAcentral lists this ribosomal RNA (510 nucleotides) under uncultured bacterium. RNAcentral describes it as "partial 16S ribosomal RNA". It matches the Rfam family "Bacterial small subunit ribosomal RNA", at positions 28 to 507 of the family's 1533-position model. The record is from RNAcentral.